Molecule: ribosomal RNA, 436 nt
Filed under: uncultured bacterium
Lineage: Bacteria
Description: bacterial SSU rRNA
Rfam family: Bacterial small subunit ribosomal RNA
Source: RNAcentral
AUGGGAACGCGAAGAACCUUACCUAGACUUGACAUCUCCUGAAUAGUGUAGAGAUACAUGAAGCCCUUCGGGGCAGGAAGACAGGUGGUGCAUGGUUGUCGUCAGCUCAUGUCGUGAGAUGUUGGGUUAAGUCCCGCAACGAGCGCAACCCUUAUUACUAGUUGCUACCAUUAAGUUGAGCACUCUAGUGAGACUGCCCGGGUUAACCGGGAGGAAGGCGGGGAUGACGUCAAAUCAUCAUGCCCCUUAUGUCUAGGGCAACACACGUGCUACAAUGGUGAGUACAGAUAGAUGCGAUACCGCAAGGUGGAGCCAAACUCUAAAACUCAUCCCAGUUCGGAUUGUAGGCUGCAACUCGCCUACAUGAAGUUGGAGUUGCUAGUAAUCGCGAAUCAGAAUGUCGCGGUGAAUACGUUCCCGGGUCUUGUACACACCG